This 459-nucleotide long non-coding RNA is filed under the name Capsicum annuum. RNAcentral describes it as "long non-coding RNA (CANN_LNC017841)". The record is from RNAcentral. Lineage: Eukaryota; Viridiplantae; Streptophyta; Magnoliopsida; Solanales; Solanaceae.
AAGUUGCUAGUGAAUCAAAAUAGGUCUCACACGGCUUUACUAGACUUUGAUUUUGUAUUUUGAACAAGAAAAUGAGAUGAAUGACAAGUCAACUAUGCUAGUGAAUCGAAAGAGCCCCAUACGGCUUCACUAGACUUUAUUUUUUUCAACAACACCUUGAUGACAAAAUUACAUGAGAUAGAAAUUUAAUACGCAAUAUCCAAUGAACUAAGAAUACACAUCUUAUGCUGUAUAAAUAAAAUCAGAGUCAAAUACUUCCUCCACGGACUACCAUACCAUCCACACAUGCUACUAGUUACCACAUUAGUCUAUCACCAUAAGGGGGGUAAAUCAUUCUCGAACAUCGGUUAUUCAACUAAAAUAUUCAUUUACACAAAAGUCACCCUCACUCUGACUUCUAACUUUGUGACAUCACAUCAUCAACUUUUUGGUCUAAUUUCACUACCAAUAGGUCAUGAC